CCUACGGGUGGCAGCAGUGGGGAAUAUUGGACAAUGGGGGGAACCCUGAUCCAGCCAUGCCGCGUGUGUGAAGAAGGCCCUCGGGUUGUAAAGCACUUUCAGUGAGGAAGAACGCCUGGUGGUUAAUACCCAUCAGGAAAGACAUCACUCACAGAAGAAGCACCGGCUAACUCCGUGCCAGCAGCCGCGGUAAUACGGAGGGUGCGAGCGUUAAUCGGAAUUACUGGGCGUAAAGCGCGCGUAGGUGGCUUGAUAAGCCGGUUGUGAAAGCCCCGGGCUCAACCUGGGAACGGCAUCCGGAACUGUCAAGCUAGAGUGCAGGAGAGGAAGGUAGAAUUCACGGUGUAGCGGUGAAAUGCGUAGAGAUCGGGAGGAAUACCAGUGGCGAAGGCGGCCUUCUGGACUGACACUGACACUGAGGUGCGAAAGCGUGGGUAGCAAACAGGAUUAGAUACCCGGGUAGUC
Molecule: ribosomal RNA, 465 nt
Filed under: Vreelandella stevensii
Lineage: Bacteria; Pseudomonadati; Pseudomonadota; Gammaproteobacteria; Oceanospirillales; Halomonadaceae
Description: partial 16S ribosomal RNA
Rfam family: Bacterial small subunit ribosomal RNA
Source: RNAcentral